UGGUGAAAAACUUUUACACCAAAUCGUGAAACAUAAGAAGCAAGACGCACCGCUGAGCUGUUCGAAUUGUGUAAUUUGUGUGGUGGUAAAUAAAAGAGAAAAAAAUAAUGUAAUUCGAGUUGUUUGCAAAGUUUAUUAUUCGUGGUUCUUACUUUCGCCCUCGAAUGAGGAAAAGACACUUUUCAAAGUGUCGCCACGUGGCGCCAUCGCGAUACUUACAGUAGGGGGCCACGUGCACGUGCACGAGUACGAGUACGGGCGGUGGCGCGCAUCCAUCGCAGGUGAACGCGGGUUUUUCGACACACGUCGCCGGCACGGGAAUGGGUGGUACACGUGCUCACCUGCUCCUCAUCCUCAUCCUCUGCGCCCUGGCGGACUGUUCCUCGAUAGAGGAAAUCACCAGAACGUUCCAGUGUCUGGAAGAACAAGACACUUUUCAUAUGGAGCAUGGAAUCGAAAACCCGAAACAGAAGAAAUGCCAGCAGACCUGGGCACAGGGACGCAAAGUCAUCGGCAUUUCCGGGAGCGAGAGCCGGUGUCUGCAGCCGUGCGCGAGCAUCUCGGAGCGGGGCAUGAGCGUGUCCUCCUGUGCCAAUUACACGCUCUCCGCCUUUUGCGAGAACAACGAGCGGAACGGCUACGAAAUCCUCAUCUCCUUCUACGGGAACGCUGCGAAGAGAGCUCAGAGCUCCGGGGCCCCCCCCGCAGCCCAGACGGUCGGCUGGGGGUCCCUGUGCGCCUCUGCGUUCAUCACGGCGCUCAUUGGUGCUUCAGCUCGGUGGUAGCGGUACUGGUACUGGCGCCGGGGCCAAGCGGGUUAGGUCUCCUCCCGCCUGCGUGAUCGUGGGAGGGACCCCUUGCUUCAGGAGUGUGUUCCGGCCUGGUGGGGGAGGGGGCACCUGCUCCAGGUGCGCGGUGUUAGGAGCAGAUUUGACUGUCUUCCUCAUCGAGCAGGGAAAAGGAACUACAUCACCGCUUUUGUCCCUCUUUCUGCUGAAGUUCUUUUCCAUCUGUGACUGUGGGGCACUGCUGGGGGGUGGGGGGGGGCACUUUGUCACUUAAUUUACAUCUCAAUAAUCCUGUGGCCACAGACCAAUCCUGAGAUUUAUUUGCUGGGAACAAACCCUCUUGAUCACUGCCUUCUGCUUCAAGGUCCCAGGUUCGAAUCCCAUUCCUACUGUAGUCCCCUUAGUGAAGGUACUUACUUUGAAUUGAUGCAGUAAAGGGUAAAUCAGUGUAAACAGCUUACUGUAGAAACCCUGCACUGUAAGUUGCUGUAGAGGAAAGGUGCUAAUUGGCAAAUAUUUCCUUUCAAAGCUUUACAUUCAUGAAAUAACCCAAAAGUUUCCCCGUUGGUUAUUUGUGAUAUUUCUCACUUUAUGCCCCUCCCUCUGAGCCACCGAAAAUGUACUUUUCUUUCCCACAGUCGUGGGUAAAAUACUUUAAUGGUAGCAGUGUGGAAGUUGCUGUGAAGUACUCAGGGUUUACCAUGUUGAGGUGAACCUUCACUCAGGUGCUGCUGCUGCUGCUGAAGAAACAGGCUGUACUCUACUCCGUUUACUCACCACAUGUGUAAAUUGCGGUCAGUACUGUAAUUCGGAGUUUUACUCUGCCUGACCGUGUUUUCCGUUGGGCUCUUUUUUGUGCUUUUACCCAGUUUACAACCUGUUUCCUUUAUGAAAGCAGCAUUUACCUUAAAAUUACCCUGCACAGUGAUGGGAUUUCAGGAAUGUGAAUGUGAGAUGUGAGGUAUCGAACACACAGACACUCACACACACAGUCUGUUGGGAUAUAAAGAAUAUGAAUGAAAAGAUUUGUUAACAAUCACUAAUGAGGGACUAAUGACCAGUGACAGUGUAUCAAAGAAUGACCUUUUAUUGCGUGUUAUUUAUUGGAGAAUUAUCAAUUUAACCUAAAAUGUAUUUGAAUGUAGUCAUGUGGCUUUAACCCAUGUUGCCAUCACACGGUAUCUGGUGUCUCCCGUCCUGCUGCUCGAGCGGCUCGGUGCCCUGUUCUCCACAUCUGUGCAGGUCCGUCCACACCUGUCCAACGUGUGAAAAGUACCAGUUUCCCAAAGACACCACUGUUUGUGCGUAUCUGCACUUGUGCAUUUCCAACACCAGCGUGCCGGUGGGGUGCAGCGCAGUGGUAAAAGGGAGUAAAGGCACUGGCAAAGCGGUACAGUGAAGGACAGCUGCAGCGAGGACCGGAGCAUCGCUCUCAAGAGCUCAGUUACAGUGAAAGUUCCGGUACAUCAUCACCUCGCACGGUGGCAGCUCCCCGGGUCACGUCUCAGCCGCCAGUUUCCAAAGUGCUCUUUGACUCGGGCUGUGGUGUCGGCUAUUAAUGGCAGCAGUAAUAAUAUCUUAUACCUGUGAAACUGUGUGUGUGUGUGUGUGAAUGCGCCCGCACGCAUGCCAAAACUACACACAGAGUGAUAUGCUUUGUUGGCAGAUGAGCCCUUUUCUUUCACUUCCCCUUUGUCGCACUGGAAACUUUCCUCUCUGCCCACCCAGUGAUGUCAGAGACGCUGCUCACGCUGUCAGUUCUCGUUCGCUGGCGCUGCUCCCGAAGAGAAAGGGCAUCAUCUUUCAAAAGUGCAUGCGCGCGCACACACACACACACGCAGACAAAUGUGCUGAUCUCCAGCACACAGCCACAAAAGGACAACAUUUCAGAAGGUUCAUCAUGAUCGAAAAACGUAUUUAUGGAGCAUGAUGUUCACUUACUGUUUGUUUCCGAAAUUUUCCAGUGUUAACAUUAAAACUUAAAAUGUACGCUUGCACUUUCUGUAACGCACCUUUAUCCUAGCUUUUCUCUCUGUAUGUUUGCACUUUUUUUGUCUGUUAAUACUACUGUAUAUUUUUAUUCUGGUAAAUUUUUAGAAUAAUGAAAAUAAAAUAAAUGUAAAUAUGUGUUCA
Long non-coding RNA from Scleropages formosus (Asian bonytongue), 2921 nucleotides. The record is from Ensembl. Lineage: Eukaryota; Metazoa; Chordata; Actinopteri; Osteoglossiformes; Osteoglossidae.